Molecule: long non-coding RNA, 1638 nt
Organism: Panthera uncia (snow leopard)
Lineage: Eukaryota; Metazoa; Chordata; Mammalia; Carnivora; Felidae
Exons: 3
Source: RefSeq, a predicted model, not a curated record
UCUUUUUUCCCCAAAUAAAGUCUUUCUAAGCGGGCAGACAGGCUAGGGCAGAACUACCUGGGCUGAGAUUGGGGGAGAGCACCUACAAUUUUUUCUGGUCAUCUUCCCUUUCCACCUUCUUUUUCAUGACCCCCUCCCCUUAACUCGGAUGACACCAUAGAAUCCUGUUGCUCUAAGGAACACAGCUGAGAUACCACUGGUCUAAAGGUCAGCAUAACUGAAAGGAGUGCACGAUGCUCUGAUUCCCACUCAAAGACCCUGACAGCUGUGGACGAGCCUGGAGACUCCCCUGCACCUCAGUUCUGUCCUCUGGCACUCUCAAGCCCUGUCUCACAAGAUGUGUGUCUCUGUGUCCCGGGAGACUGAAAACUCCGAGAGGUCAAAGAUCACACUUGUUUUGUGCACACCUUGUCUCUAGUACCCGGCACAAUGCUUUCUACACAAAACCUAAAGCUGCAUCAGAGUGCUUUUUAAGAUGAUACUUCAGACACCCACCAACAAUCAAUAAGAGACAGCAUGAGAGGCAAGACCUAUUUAUUAUCCCUUUUGUGCCCUUUUUUUGUGCCUUUCAUAAGCAAUACUGUAUACCAGGAAAGAAGAACCUUCUCAGAGAGAGAGAGACAACAAACUUUUUAACUUCUUCAAAAUCUGCCACAGAAGACAAAGUCAUCCCCAUGGGAUUAUCACAGGGCCAUGAGCCACCGGCCAUACUAAGACAUGGAUUCUUAGAAUCCUUCCAAAAACAGCAAAAGGAAAAUCGCAAAACCCCAAGUCUGGCCUGCCUUGUGGCACCGUGUUGGCAAUUAGCAUGAUAUUAAAAGUGUCCUGAUGCUCUUCUGGGUACAAAAGCUCAGCUUUGCUUCAUGGUACCAAGUAGUUCUGAGGCUCAGAUGUGUAUUUUUCUGUCUCUAAGUUGAAGCAGUAAGAAAAAGAAAGCAAGCUGGUAGCAGAGAUUAGGGCGGAAGCUAGGGUACGUGGAGCGAGUCCAGGGAGGGGCUGAGGACGGCAGUAAUACUAACAAUAAAAACGUACCCCUGUUUUCUAUCUGCCACGCCUUCUGCUUAGGUGAACGUUGUGGGUUUUCUCAUUGCCUCCACACAAGCAACCCUCUGUCACAGGUACUAUUUUUCUGCCUCCUCCAGAUGAAAAGCCUUGAGGCUCAGGGAAACGGGACAUGACUUGCUUCUGGUCCCGCAAUUCACAAGCCAGGAAGCUAUGGGAUGUGAACCCAGAUACGUCUGCUUCAAGAUACCGUAUUCUUGAAACUGUGUGAUCCAGACCAGCAGAGCCACUCUUUCAGCAUGGAGAGACGGUGACCUGGAGUUUGAAGCACAUCUUAGGGCAAAGAUUUCUUCAUCUUUGUGUUUUCCUAUUGCAGAGCACAAUGGCUGGCACACAAUCCGUUCACAUUUGGUUGAAUUGAUAUUUGGUACAACUGAGGCUUUCAAAUUUAGCAGUGAAUUCUGUUAGCAGAACAUUGUUGCUUCUUCUAAAUCUUCUGUUGCUUGCGUCCUGGAGCUGUGAUGGGUAUUGUCGCAGUGGCCCUGUCGUUUGUACGAUUGGCUCAUGUGUUCCACAUGUAUUUAUUUGCACUUACUGUGUGUUAGGCACUAUAUAGCUGGACAGCAGUGAACAAGA